ACGAACGCUGGCGGCGUGCUUAACACAUGCCAGUCGAACGCUGAAGCACCAGCUUGCUGGUGUGGAUGAGUGGCGAACGGGUGAGUAAUACGUGAGUAACCUGCCCUUGACUCUGGGAUAAGCCCGGGAAACUGGGUCUAAUACUGGAUGCUACAUGUCACCGCAUGGUGGUGUGUGGAAAGGGUUUACUGGUCUUGUAUGGGCUCACGGCCUAUCAGCUUGUUGGUGAGGUAAUGGCUCACCAAGGCGACGACGGGUAGCCGGCCUGAGAGGGUGACAGGCGACACUGAGACUGAGACAAGGCACAGACACGUAAGGGAGGGAGAAGGGGGGAAGAUUGAAGAAGGAGCGAAAGGCGGAUGAAGAGAGGCCGCGGAAGGGAUGACGGUGUUAGGGUUGAAGAACAAAUGCAGAAGGGAAGAAGCAAGAAGUGACGGUACCUGAAGAAGAAGCGACGGCUAACUACGUG
RNAcentral lists this ribosomal RNA (469 nucleotides) under uncultured bacterium. RNAcentral describes it as "partial 16S ribosomal RNA". It matches the Rfam family "Bacterial small subunit ribosomal RNA", at positions 29 to 507 of the family's 1533-position model. The record is from RNAcentral.